Molecule: ribosomal RNA, 301 nt
Filed under: uncultured bacterium
Lineage: Bacteria
Description: partial 16S ribosomal RNA
Rfam family: Bacterial small subunit ribosomal RNA
Source: RNAcentral
CAGCCGCCGCGGGAAUACAGAGGAUGCAAGCGUUAUCCGGAAUUAUUGGGCGUAAAGCGCGCGCAGGUGGUUUAAUAAGUCUGAUGUGAAAGCCCACGGCUCAACCGAGGAGGGUCAUUGGAAACUGUUAAACUUGAGUGCAGGAGAGAAAAGUGGAAUUCCUAGUGUAGCGGUGAAAUGCGUAGAGAUUAGGAGGAACACCAGUGGCGAAGGCGGCUUUUUGGCCUGUAACUGACACUGAGGCGCGAAAGCGUGGGGAGCAAACAGGAUUAGAGACCCCAGUAGUCCCUGUCUCUUAUAC